AAUCUUGUUUGUUUCAGGUGGAGUUGAUCUCAGAAAAUACACUGUAGAGGUUUAUGUAAAGCAGGACGAGAGGGAAGAUCAACGGACGGGAUCUAAGCUCUGUCGGCUCCAGCGAGAUCGCCGUGUCACAUCUAGUCCCCCCACCAGAAUGUAUUAAUUUCAACGGUCGGGUAGAGCUUCUCAGUGGUUAGUUAGGUCCCAUGAUAAGGGGCUGACAACCAUCUUUCUAUAUAAGUGGGAAAUUUAUUUUUAA
Molecule: long non-coding RNA, 253 nt
Organism: Magnolia sinica
Lineage: Eukaryota; Viridiplantae; Streptophyta; Magnoliopsida; Magnoliales; Magnoliaceae
Exons: 2
Source: RefSeq, a predicted model, not a curated record